RNAcentral lists this ribosomal RNA (465 nucleotides) under Vreelandella stevensii. RNAcentral describes it as "partial 16S ribosomal RNA". It matches the Rfam family "Bacterial small subunit ribosomal RNA", at positions 338 to 795 of the family's 1533-position model. Lineage: Bacteria; Pseudomonadati; Pseudomonadota; Gammaproteobacteria; Oceanospirillales; Halomonadaceae. The record is from RNAcentral.
CCUACGGGUGGCUGCAGUGGGGAAUAUUGGACAAUGGGGGGAACCCUGAUCCAGCCAUGCCGCGUGUGUGAAGAAGGCCCUCGGGUUGUAAAGCACUUUCAGUGAGGAAGAACGCCUGGUGGUUAAUACCCAUCAGGAAAGACAUCACUCACAGAAGAAGCACCGGCUAACUCCGUGCCAGCAGCCGCGGUAAUACGGAGGGUGCGAGCGUUAAUCGGAAUUACUGGGCGUAAAGCGCGCGUAGGUGGCUUGAUAAGCCGGUUGUGAAAGCCCCGGACUCAACCUGGGAACGGCAUCCGGAACUGUCAAGCUAGAGUGCAGGAGAGGAAGGUAGAAUUCCCGGUGUAGCGGUGAAAUGCGUAGAGAUCGGGAGGAAUACCAGUGGCGAAGGCGGCCUUCUGGACUGACACUGACACUGAGGUGCGAAAGCGUGGGUAGCAAACAGGAUUAGAUACCCGAGUAGUC